CAGUAGCCGCGGGAAUACAGAGGGUGCGAGCGUUAAUCGGAUUUACUGGGCGUAAAGCGUGCGUAGGCGGCUUCUUAAGUCGGAUGUGAAAUCCCUGAGCUUAACUUAGGAAUUGCAUUCGAUACUGGGAAGCUAGAGUAUGGGAGAGGAUGGUAGAAUUCCAUGUGUAGCGGUGAAAUGCGUAGAGAUCUGGAGGAAUACCGAUGGCGAAGGCAGCCAUCUGGCCUAAUACUGACGCUGAGGUACGAAAGCAUGGGGAGCAAACAGGAUUAGAUACCCCUGUAGUCCCUGUCUCUUAUAC
RNAcentral lists this ribosomal RNA (301 nucleotides) under uncultured bacterium. RNAcentral describes it as "partial 16S ribosomal RNA". It matches the Rfam family "Bacterial small subunit ribosomal RNA", at positions 509 to 807 of the family's 1533-position model. The record is from RNAcentral.